RNAcentral lists this ribosomal RNA (465 nucleotides) under uncultured bacterium. RNAcentral describes it as "partial 16S ribosomal RNA". It matches the Rfam family "Bacterial small subunit ribosomal RNA", at positions 338 to 795 of the family's 1533-position model. The record is from RNAcentral.
CCUACGGGUGACAGCAGUAGGGAAUCUUCCACAAUGGACGAAAGUCUGAUGGAGCAACGCCGCGUGAGUGAAGAAGGGUUUCGGCUCGUAAAGCACUGUUGGUAGUGGAGAAAGAUAGAGGUAGUAACUGGCCUUUAUUUGACGGGAAUUACUUAGAAAGUCACGGCUAACUACGUGCCAGCAGCCGAGGUAAUACGGAGGGGGCAAGCGUUGUCCGGAGUUAUUGGGCGUAAAGCGAGUGCGGGCGGUUCAAUAAGUAUGUUGUGAAAGCCUUCGGCUCAACCGGAGAAUUGCAUCAGAAACUGUUGAACUUGAGUGCAGAAGAGGCGAGUGGAACUCCAUGUGUAGCGGUGGAAUGCGUAGAUAUAUGGAAGAACACCAGUGGCGAAGGCGGCUCUCUGGUCUGCAACUGACGCUGAGGCUCGAAAGCAUGGGUAGCGAACAGGAUUAGAUACCCUUGUAGUC